AACGAACGCUUUCGGUAUGCUUAACACAUGCAAGUUGAACGGAUUAAUUUAGGGCUUGCUCUGAAUUAGUUAGUAGCAAACGGGUGAGUAACACGUGGGAAUCUACCCAUCAGUACGGAAUAACACUUAGAAAUAAAUGCUAAUACCGUAUAUUCUCUUCAGAGGAAAGAUUUAUCGCUGAUGGAUGAGCCCGCGUCAGAUUAGGUAGUUGGUAGGGUAAUGGCCUACCAAGCCAACGAUCUGUAGCUGGUCUGAGAGGAUGAUCAGCCACACUGGGACUGAGACGCGGCCCAGACUCCU
Molecule: ribosomal RNA, 300 nt
Filed under: uncultured bacterium
Lineage: Bacteria
Description: bacterial SSU rRNA
Rfam family: Bacterial small subunit ribosomal RNA
Source: RNAcentral